Molecule: long non-coding RNA, 231 nt
Filed under: Phascolarctos cinereus (koala)
Lineage: Eukaryota; Metazoa; Chordata; Mammalia; Diprotodontia; Phascolarctidae
Description: lncRNA (ENSPCIG00000037293.1)
Source: RNAcentral
GUCAGUUAGAUAGAGGACGGAUUAAAGAAGGAGGAAACUGGAAGCAAAGAGACCAUUUGAGAAGCUGUUGCAAUAAUCUGUGGUCUGAACUGAGACAGUGGCUGUGUGAGUUAGAAUUGAUGACUUGGCAACUUCCUGGAUAUGGCGAUGAAGAUGAUCAAGGAUGAUCCCAAGCUCCACGCUGGCACUUACAAGAAGUUAAGACAAGCCGAAGGACUGAGAUGCGCUGGC